UACAGAGGUGGCAAGCGUUGUUCGGAAUUACUGGGCGUAAAGGGCGCGUAGGCGGUCUUCUAAGUCUUGUGUGAAAUCCCUCGGCUUAACUGAGGAACUGCACGGGAUACUGGAUGACUUGAGUUCGGGAGAGGGAAGCGGAAUUCCGGGUGUAGCGGUGAAAUGCGUAGAUAUCCGGAGGAACACCGGUGGCGAAGGCGGCUUCCUGGACCGACACUGACGCUGAGGCGCGAAAGCCAGGGGAGCGAACGGG
Molecule: ribosomal RNA, 253 nt
Filed under: uncultured bacterium
Lineage: Bacteria
Description: partial 16S ribosomal RNA
Rfam family: Bacterial small subunit ribosomal RNA
Source: RNAcentral